Molecule: ribosomal RNA, 374 nt
Filed under: Nematoda sp.
Lineage: Eukaryota; Metazoa; Nematoda
Description: SSU rRNA
Rfam family: Eukaryotic small subunit ribosomal RNA
Source: RNAcentral
CUGAAUAACUUUGCUGAUCGCACGGUCUUUGUACCGGCGACGCAUCUUUCAAGUGUCUGCCUUAUCAACUUUCGAUGGUAGCUUAUGUGUCUACCAUGGUUGUAACGGGUAACGGAGAAUAAGGGUUCGACUCCGGAGAGGGAGCCUGAGAAACGGCUACCACAUCCAAGGAAGGCAGCAGGCGCGCAAAUUACCCACUCUCAGCACGAGGAGGUAGUGACGAAAAAUAACGAGUCGGUUCUCUUUGAGGCCCGAUAUCGGAAUGGGUACAAUCUAAACCCUUUAACGAGGACCUAUGAGAGGGCAAGUCUGGUGCCAGCAGCCGCGGUAAUUCCAGCUCUCAAGGUGUAUAUCGCCAUUGCUGCGGUUAAAAA